AUCCCCAUGAGAGGCUGCCGGGGAAACGAGCAUCCAGGAAGGCUUCAAUGGACAUAAAGCACACAGCACUGCUGCAUGCAGCAGGCAGCCCAGGGAGGCACGAGAGAUGCAUUCUUUCUGCUGCUCCCAAAAAACCCAACUCGCAGCCUCCCUCCUCAUGCACCAUUCCCCAGGAGCAGAUCCACGUGAUGGCUGCAGUGAAUGCUUUCCUGCCAUGAGACGUUCCAGAGUGUUGUCUGUCCCCUUGAAAAUUGAUACGAAACUCCCCGCAUACUACACGGCUGGUGACACGCUCAGCAAAUGAGGAGUCUGGGAAGAAAUCAAC
Molecule: long non-coding RNA, 325 nt
Filed under: Phasianus colchicus (ring-necked pheasant)
Lineage: Eukaryota; Metazoa; Chordata; Aves; Galliformes; Phasianidae
Description: lncRNA (ENSPCLG00000017867.1)
Source: RNAcentral